This 253-nucleotide ribosomal RNA is filed under the name uncultured bacterium. RNAcentral describes it as "partial 16S ribosomal RNA". It matches the Rfam family "Bacterial small subunit ribosomal RNA", at positions 524 to 776 of the family's 1533-position model. The record is from RNAcentral.
UACGGAGACUGCAAGCGUUACUCGGAUUUAUUGGGCGUAAAGGAUACGUAGGCGGUCUAGUGUGUCCGGUGUUAAAUAGCAGGGCUCAACCCUGUCUAAGCACAGGAUACUGCUAGACUAGAGUUUCGGAGAGGUAAGCGGAAUUUUCGGUGUAGCGGUGAAAUGCAUAGAUAUCGAAAAGAACACCAAAGGCGAAGGCAGCUUACUGGACGAUAAUUGACGCUGAUGUAUGAAAGCGUGGGUAGCGAAAGGG